GACGAACGCUGGCGGCGUGCUUAACACAUGCAAGUCGAACGGAAAGGCCCUGCUUUUGUGGGGUGCUCGAGUGGCGAACGGGUGAGUAACACGUGAGUAACCUGCCCUUGACUUUGGGAUAACUUCAGGAAACUGGGGCUAAUACCGGAUAGGAGCUCCUGCUGCAUGGUGGGGGUUGGAAAGUUUCGGCGGUUGGGGAUGGACUCGCGGCUUAUCAGCUUGUUGGUGGGGUAGUGGCUUACCAAGGCUUUGACGGGUAGCCGGCCUGAGAGGGUGACCGGCCACAGUGGGACUGAGAUACGGCCCAGACUCCUACGGGAGGCAGCAGUGGGGAAUAUUGCACAAUGGGCGGAAGCCUGAUGCAGCAACGCCACGUGCGGGAUGACGGCCUUCGGGUUGUAAACCGCUUUCGCCUGUGACGAAGCGUGAGUGACGGUAAUGGGUAAAGAAGCACCGGCUAACUACGUG
Molecule: ribosomal RNA, 468 nt
Filed under: uncultured bacterium
Lineage: Bacteria
Description: partial 16S ribosomal RNA
Rfam family: Bacterial small subunit ribosomal RNA
Source: RNAcentral